This 334-nucleotide ribosomal RNA is filed under the name uncultured soil bacterium. Its description in RNAcentral is "bacterial SSU rRNA". It matches the Rfam family "Bacterial small subunit ribosomal RNA", at positions 26 to 361 of the family's 1533-position model. The record is from RNAcentral.
AGAUUGAACGCUGGCGGCAGGCCUAACACAUGCAAGUCGAGCGGCAGCACGGGUACUUGUACCUGGUGGCGAGCGGCGGACGGGUGAGUAAUGCCUAGGAAUCUGCCUGAUAGUGGGGGAUAACGCUCGGAAACGGACGCUAAUACCGCAUACGUCCUACGGGAGAAAGCAGGGGACCUUCGGGCCUUGCGCUAUCAGAUGAGCCUAGGUCGGAUUAGCUAGUUGGUGGGGUAAUGGCUCACCGAGGCGACGAUCCGUAACUGGUCUGAGAGGAUGAUCAGUCACACUGGAACUGAGACACGGUCCAGACUCCUACGGGAGCAGCAGGUGGGAA